RNAcentral lists this microRNA (22 nucleotides) under Panagrellus redivivus. Its description in RNAcentral is "prd-miR-7899-5p". The record is from miRBase by way of RNAcentral. Lineage: Eukaryota; Metazoa; Nematoda; Chromadorea; Rhabditida; Panagrolaimidae.
AGUACAACUAUCGUCUAUGAAC